AGCUCCCCCUGGCAGGGAGACACCAUGAUCACGAAGGUGGUUUUCCCAGGGUGAGGCUUAUCCGUCGCACGCCAGCUGUGCUGACCCCUGCGAUUUCCCCAGAUGUAAGAAACUCAGCUGCAUGAUUUGCGGUAGUGGGGGACUGUGUUCGCACUCUCCCCUG
This is a small nuclear RNA of Ochotona princeps (American pika), 163 nucleotides long. Its record names the gene U1. It matches the Rfam family "U1 spliceosomal RNA". From Rfam's summary of the family: U1 is a small nuclear RNA (snRNA) component of the spliceosome (involved in pre-mRNA splicing). Its 5' end forms complementary base pairs with the 5' splice junction, thus defining the 5' donor site of an intron. There are significant differences in sequence and secondary structure between metazoan and yeast U1 snRNAs, the latter being much longer (568 nucleotides as compared to 164 nucleotides in human). The record is from Ensembl. NCBI's taxonomy places the organism in Eukaryota, Metazoa, Chordata, Mammalia, Lagomorpha, Ochotonidae.